AACGAACGCUGGCGGCAGGCUUAACACAUGCAAGUCGAGCGCCUCGCAAGAGGAGCGGCAGACGGGUGAGUAACGCGUGGGAACGUACCCUUAUCUUCGGAAUAGCUCUGGGAAACUGGAAGUAAUACCGAAUGUGCCCUUAGGGGGAAAGAUUUAUCGGCUAAGGAUCGGCCCGCGCUGGAUUAGCUAGUUGGUGGGGUAAAGGCCUACCAAGGCGACGAUCCAUAGCUGGUCUGAGAGGAUGAUCAGCCACAUUGGGACUGAGACACGGCCCAAACUCCUACGGGAGGCAGCAGUGGGGAAUAUUGGACAAUGGGCGCAAGCCUGAUCCAGCCAUGCCGCGUGAGUGAUGAAGGCCUUAGGGUUGUAAAGCUCUUUCACCGGAGAAGAUAAUGACGGUAUCCGGAGAAGAAGCCCCGGCUAACUUCGUG
This 431-nucleotide ribosomal RNA is filed under the name uncultured bacterium. RNAcentral describes it as "partial 16S ribosomal RNA". It matches the Rfam family "Bacterial small subunit ribosomal RNA", at positions 29 to 507 of the family's 1533-position model. The record is from RNAcentral.